CCUGGGAACUGCGUUNUGAACUGGGUGACUAGAGUGUGUCAGAGGGAGGUAGAAUUCCACGUGUAGCAGUGAAAUGCGUAGAGAUGUGGAGGAAUACCGAUGGCGAAGGCAGCCUCCUGGGAUAACACUGACGUUCAUGCCCGAAAGCGUGGGUAGCAAACAGGAUUAGAUACCCUGGUAGUCCACGCCCUAAACGAUGUCGAUUAGCUGUUGGGCAGCAUGACUGCUUAGUAGCGAAGCUAACGCGUGAAAUCGACCGCCUGGGGAGUACGGUCGCAAGAUUAAAACUCAAAGGAAUUGACGGGGACCCGCACAAGCGGUGGAUGAUGUGGAUUAAUUCGAUGCAACGCGAAGAACCUUACCUGGUCUUGACAUGUACGGAACCCUCCAGAGACGGAGGGGUGCCUUCGGGAGCCGUAACACAGGUGCUGCAUGGCUGUCGUCAGCUCGUGUCGUGAGAUGUUGGGUUAAGUCCCGCAACGAGCGCAACCCUUGUCAUUAGUUGCCAUCAUUAAGUUGGGCACUCUAAUGAGACUGCCGGUGACAAGCCGGAGGAAGGUGGGGAUGACGUCAAGUCCUCAUGGCCCUUAUGACCAGGGCUUCACACGUCAUACAAUGGUCGGUACAGAGGGUAGCCAAGCCGCGAGGUGGAGCCAAUCUCACAAAACCGAUCGUAGUCCGGAUUGCACUCUGCAACUCGAGUGCAUGAAGUCGGAAUCGCUAGUAAUCGCAGGUCAGCAUACUGCGGUGAAUACGUUCCCGGGUCUUGUACACACCGCCCGUCACACCAUGGGAGUGGGGGAUACCAGAAGUAGGUAGGGUAACCGCAAGGAGC
Molecule: ribosomal RNA, 835 nt
Filed under: uncultured bacterium
Lineage: Bacteria
Description: bacterial SSU rRNA
Rfam family: Bacterial small subunit ribosomal RNA
Source: RNAcentral